GCGGAUGUGGCGGAACAGGCAGACGCGCAGGGUUUAGGUCCCUGUGCCCCGAAGGGGGCGUGCGGGUUCGACUCCCGCCAUCCGCA
RNAcentral lists this transfer RNA (86 nucleotides) under Chlorobiota bacterium. RNAcentral's name for it is "tRNA-Leu". It matches the Rfam family "tRNA". Rfam says of the family: Transfer RNA (tRNA) molecules are approximately 80 nucleotides in length. Lineage: Bacteria; Pseudomonadati; Chlorobiota. The record is from RNAcentral.